AUUGUAAAAAUAUUCUUAUUAUUUAUAUAUUGUGUUUGCUGGGUAAAUAAUAGACGAUUACUGAUUUACAUCCAGUCAAAUAUGAAAAACUUGGGUUCUAUGAGUUAUUUCAUCUUUUGUUUAGCAGGACAUAAGUUACAAUAUAUGAAAAAAUAGCCAAUAUUCCGCCAAAAACCAAAAUCUUAUGUAUUUGGUGCAUUCUUUCAUUUGAAAAAAAAUAAAAUAAAAUGCGACCAUCGCAUAAAUAAUAAAAAAAUCCAGUUAUUUUCUCCAUCAAAUCGAGCAAUCCGACUUUGUUGCGUCUGGCUCUUACUUUCACAUGUAAUCUUCAUUUCUUCUUCAGGAACUAAAGAAAAUUGACGAUACAAUUAAUUAAUAUAUGAUUUUGUUCAUUUUUCUUUCACAGAUAUAUUUUUUAGAUCGCAAUCCUUCGAAGGAUUAAUGAACCUGGCAACGAAUAAACAUGACAAAUUGUGCUAAUCAGUUUCGCCAAGACGUCAAAGACGUCAAGUCGGCCUACUAGCACGAUAAUCUCUGAACCGGACAAACGCGAAGAAAGACUUUCGCAGUCAGUCUUUCCUUCCUCUUUUACACAUGCAACGACAAUGAUGAUGACGACGAUGAUGACGAUAACGGAAAUCAGCGGUUUCUAUUUCGUGCUCAACGUGAAAGGUGCACGAAGAUGGAUCAAAUUAAAUGACGUAUCAUUAUGGGUGCAGGGAACGCGAAAUAACGGGUGUAGCAAAAAUAUGGACUAUUGCUGCUUCAAGAACGUCUUCUACUCAUCCAAAUGAGGAAAAAAAUUCAUACCAAAAAUGACUUUUUAUUGAUCCCUUCAUCCUGAUCUGAUGUUUGACAGAACGUUUGACAGUAUAGGCUUCUAUAUAUCUGCUAAGGAGGGGAAGCAGAAGAAAAUGAAUGCUUAAAAGAACAAAAAAUGCUGAUGAUCCCAGAUGAAUUAAUAAGAGGCUUUCUUAAUCGAGCCAUUUAUUUAUUCCUUUUUUAAACUUUUUCAUAGAUCCUUUCUUCCCUUCUGGCGACUGAUGGGAGCAACCCCUCCAGUACCUGGGGAGGAUACUUUCCCUGAGUGAAAGCGCAGUGUCAAGGUCAUCAGACGCAGUCGGAAAAUUGUCGGAGUUAAACCGGUUUUCUCUCUCUCGCGAAUAGAAUAUGGGCGAUUCUUAUUCGAUCGACCCGGCGUCGACGUUCAUCGUCAUCGUCGUUCUCAUCGAUAAGUAUACGACACACAGUGCUUUAUGCCAUGCUUCUUUUUGUUGGAAAUAAAAUGACCGCGAGAUAUAUUUAUGUACAACAUGAUUCCGCGAUUUCUCUCGCACGCGAUUGCCAUCAUAGAGAAAUAAGUAUGAUUGGCAGAUGAGAAAAAAACUGACAUGGAGCAGCUAUACAUAUAUAUAAUAUAUAUAAUCUUAA
Non-coding RNA from Nylanderia fulva, 1431 nucleotides. The record is from RefSeq and is a predicted model, not a curated record. Lineage: Eukaryota; Metazoa; Arthropoda; Insecta; Hymenoptera; Formicidae.